This is a long non-coding RNA of Homo sapiens (human), 621 nucleotides long. Ensembl annotates it as MIR7515 host gene. The record is from Ensembl. NCBI's taxonomy places the organism in Eukaryota, Metazoa, Chordata, Mammalia, Primates, Hominidae.
UGGGGACAUGGAAGCUGUGUUCAGGCCGGUCCACGCUGGGUGACCCAUGUGACCUGCUGCUUAGCAAUUCCUUGUCACCAUCUUCCCUUCUCAGCCUCUUUUUUCAUGCUAACAGGCAUAAAUGAAAUGAUAAAAGUUUGAGCUCUUCUCGUGGAAUUCUCGUGAUACAGAUAUGUGCUACAUGUUCAUCAUCUCGUUGGUCUUCACCAUGAUAACUGUGGAGUAAGAAUUAUAAGCAGGUCACAGAUUAGGGACUUGAGAUUGACAGUUUGGCUUCCCUGUUCUGGGUGGCAAAGCCUGUGGAGUACUCACCUACCUGCUGCAUGAAGGCAGCAUGGAGGGACUGUGGUGGAUUAUCUGCAAAGAUGGCCAAAAUUCUCUCAUCCCUGCAGGCACAUACAAGAACUGAAGCUCAGCUCUUCACCCUACAGAAAGCCUGAAUUUUGUAAAUGUUCUGCUUAGAAUGAGGAAGAAAGAUGAAGAAUGAGGAGGAAGAAGGAAGGAACGAGAGAGAGGUAAAGCCAACAAGCAGAACAGACCUACAUUUGCAGCAUCUCCAAGUUUCUGCAACAGCAUUAUGUUGUUGUUAUGUUUUGUUUUAAUAAAAGCACAUACCAUUUU